Molecule: long non-coding RNA, 544 nt
Organism: Podarcis raffonei (Aeolian wall lizard)
Lineage: Eukaryota; Metazoa; Chordata; Lepidosauria; Squamata; Lacertidae
Exons: 3
Source: RefSeq, a predicted model, not a curated record
UCAAACAUGGCUUGAUAUUGCUAACAGGUUUUCUUUUACUUAUCAGAUUCCCCCAGAAACUGUAAAUCUGGAUAAAAUGAGGAAAUGAGGAACUUGCAUGCAUGAGAAGCAUUGGUCAACAACUCUCUGGAAGUAUCCUUGGGAACCAAAGAGCAAAUACAAGAAAGAGAGAGGAUUUUCCAGACACCUGCCAGGCUUCUGACAGACCACAUGAUCAUUUCAGAGCCGAGAUGGAGUGGGGGAGGCUGUGGAUCAUGUGUGCUGGAGACAUCCUAUGUGUUCGGAAAGGAAAUCGAACUUCAGCAGUAUGACCCACCGUGCUGGAUGUUUUCGAGAAGUUUAAUCAAAAUUCUCAUCAGAAACCAAAUGAGGGGGUUCUUCAGAAAGAACAACCACCCAGUGUGAUUUACUUCAUCAGAUUAAGCGACUGAGGCCACAUCACUUCAUUCAUGCAGUGUUGGUUGGGCUGCAAGUCGCCAGGCUACUGAUGGGCCCAUUUCCUGCUUCUCCAUUCAGGUUGACUGCAGUGACGUUGGGAGGAGUA